CCACGAAGAUGAUAGCACUUUGAACUCUCUCUUUCUGAGUUGACAGUGGAGAGAACCUCACUGGCUGAGUGGC
Molecule: small nucleolar RNA, 73 nt
Organism: Hyla sarda
Lineage: Eukaryota; Metazoa; Chordata; Amphibia; Anura; Hylidae
Product: small nucleolar RNA SNORD26
Exons: 1
Source: RefSeq, a predicted model, not a curated record